UCUCCGUUGGUGAACCAGCGGAGGGAUCAUUACAGGCCUCGCAAGACUCCUACAACCCUGUGAACUUAACUAUAAGCACGUUGCUUCGGCGGGUGUCUCGGAGGGGGUUCUCCCUCCCCGAGACGCUAAACCCGCCGGCAGCCUACUAUACUCUGUCUCUUUGCGUUGGCAUCUCGAGUACAAUCAAACAAGUUAAAACUUUCAACAACGGAUCUCUUGGUUCUG
Molecule: unclassified non-coding RNA, 225 nt
Filed under: plant metagenome
Description: partial contains small subunit ribosomal RNA, internal transcribed spacer 1, and 5.8S ribosomal RNA
Source: RNAcentral